This 373-nucleotide unclassified non-coding RNA is filed under the name soil metagenome. RNAcentral describes it as "partial contains 5.8S ribosomal RNA, internal transcribed spacer 2, and large subunit ribosomal RNA". The stretch from base 1 to 117 matches the Rfam family "5.8S ribosomal RNA", at positions 38 to 154 of the family's 154-position model. The record is from RNAcentral.
GAAGAACGCAGCGAAAUGCGAUAAGUAAUGUGAAUUGCAGAAUUCAGUGAAUCAUCGAAUCUUUGAACGCAUCUUGCGCUCCUUGGUAUUCUGAGGAGCAUGCCUGUUUGAGUGUCAUUAAAUUCUCAACUACACUGACUUUGAAUUGGUGUGGCUUGGAUUUGGGGGGAAAAUUGUUGUGGGCUUUUUGUAUAGUCUGCUCCCCUGAAAUUGAUUAGCGGUACCUUUGUGGAACUGUCUACAGGUGUGAUAAUUAUCUACAUCUUAGACAUCUGCUGGAAUGCUGCUUUCUAAACCUUACUUGUAUUGACAAUCUUGACCUCAAAUCAGGUAGGACUACCCGCUGAACUUAAGCAUAUCAAUAAGCGAAGGA